This 260-nucleotide ribosomal RNA is filed under the name uncultured bacterium. Its description in RNAcentral is "partial 16S ribosomal RNA". It matches the Rfam family "Bacterial small subunit ribosomal RNA", at positions 94 to 354 of the family's 1533-position model. The record is from RNAcentral.
AGUGGCGGACGGGUGAGUAACGCGUGGGUAACCUACCUCAUACAGGGGGAUAACAGUUGGAAACGACCGCUAAUACCGCAUAACCCGCUAGUAUCGCAUGAUACAGACGAAAAAGAUUUAUCGGUAUGAGAUGGACCCGCGUCUGAUUAGCCAGUUGGCAGGGUAACGGCCUACCAAAGCAACGAUCAGUAGCCGGCCUGAGAGGGUGAACGGCCACAUUGGGACUGAGACACGGCCCAAACUCCUACGGAAGGCAGCAG